Molecule: microRNA precursor, 125 nt
Filed under: Myotis lucifugus (little brown bat)
Lineage: Eukaryota; Metazoa; Chordata; Mammalia; Chiroptera; Vespertilionidae
Description: mir-9193 microRNA precursor family
Rfam family: mir-9193 microRNA precursor family
Source: Rfam by way of RNAcentral
CAUGCACUAGUGGGGUCCCUUGGCCUGGUCUGUGGAUCAGGCUAAAACCGGCUCUCUGACAUUACCCAAGGGGUCCCAGAAUGUGAGAGGGUGCAGGCCAGGCCGAGGGACCCCACUGGUGCACA